This 372-nucleotide ribosomal RNA is filed under the name uncultured organism. Its description in RNAcentral is "bacterial SSU rRNA". It matches the Rfam family "Bacterial small subunit ribosomal RNA", at positions 526 to 896 of the family's 1533-position model. The record is from RNAcentral.
CGUAGGGGGCAAGCGUUGUCCGGAUUUACUGGGCGUAAAGAGCGUGUAGGCGGCCAGGCAGGUCUGUUGUGAAAACUGGAGGCUCAACUUCCAGACGUCGACAGAAACCGCUUGGCUAGAGUCCGGAAGAGGAGAGUGGAAUUCCUGGUGUAGCGGUGAAAUGCGCAGAUAUCAGGAAGAACACCAAUGGCGAAGGCAGCUCUCUGGGACGGUACUGACGCUGAGACGCGAAAGCGUGGGGAGCGAACAGGAUUAGAUACCCUGGUAGUCCACGCCGUAAACGAUGGGUGCUAGGUGUGGGGGGUGUCGACUCCCUCCGUGCCGCAGCUAACGCAUUAAGCACCCCGCCUGGGGAGUACGGCCGCAAGGCUA